GGUGAAGAACGUAGCGAAAUGCGAUACUUGGUGUGAAUUGCAGAAUCCCGUGAACCAUCGAGUCUUUGAACGCAAGUUGCGCCUCAAGCCAUUAGGUUGAGGGCACGUCUGCCUGGGCGUCACAUAUCGUUGCCUGAUGCCAGUUUCCUCGUGAUGGGUGACUGUGCAGGGCGAAUGAUGGCUUCCCGUGAGCAUUGUUGCCUCAUGGUUGGUUGAAAAUUGAGUCCUUGGUAGGGAGCGCCGUGAUAGAUGGUGGUUGAGUGACGAACGAGACCCAAUCAUGUGAGACCCCUACCGAAUUUGGCCUUCAUGACCCACAUGCGUCUUUGGAACGCUCAUGACGAGACCUCAGGUCAGGCGGGGCUACCCGCUGAGUUUAAGCAUAUCAAUAAGCGGAGGA
This 400-nucleotide unclassified non-coding RNA is filed under the name soil metagenome. RNAcentral describes it as "partial contains 5.8S ribosomal RNA, internal transcribed spacer 2, and large subunit ribosomal RNA". The stretch from base 3 to 122 matches the Rfam family "5.8S ribosomal RNA", at positions 37 to 154 of the family's 154-position model. The record is from RNAcentral.